RNAcentral lists this ribosomal RNA (347 nucleotides) under uncultured bacterium. Its description in RNAcentral is "partial 16S ribosomal RNA". It matches the Rfam family "Bacterial small subunit ribosomal RNA", at positions 338 to 677 of the family's 1533-position model. The record is from RNAcentral.
CCUACGGGUGGCAGCAGUGGGGAAUAUUGCGCAAUGGGCGAAAGCCUGACGCAGCGACGCCGCGUGAGGGAUGAAGGUCUUCGGAUCGUAAACCUCUGUCAGCAGGGAAGAACGGUCACUGUGCUAAUCAGCAGUGAAUUGACGGUACCUGCAAAGGAAGCACCGGCUAACUCCGUGCCAGCAGCCGCGGUAAUACGGAGGGGGCGAGUGUGAAUCGGAAUUACGGGGCGUAAAGCGCUAGAAGGCGGUAUGUCAAGUCAAGGGUGAAAUCCCCGCGCUCAACGUGGGAACGGCCUGUGAAACUGGCAAACUGGAGUUUCUGAGAGGAUAGUGGAAUUCCAGUUGUA